AAACUUUCAACAACGGAUCUCUUGGUUCCGGCAUCGAUGAAGAACGCAGCGAAAUGCGAUAAGUAAUGUGAAUUGCAGAAUUCCGUGAAUCAUCGAAUCUUUGAACGCACAUUGCGCCCCUUGGUAUUCCGGGGGGCAUGCCUGUUCGAGCGUCAUU
RNAcentral lists this ribosomal RNA (157 nucleotides) under Trichophyton simii. RNAcentral's name for it is "5.8S ribosomal RNA". It matches the Rfam family "5.8S ribosomal RNA". Rfam says of the family: 5.8S ribosomal RNA (5.8S rRNA) is a component of the large subunit of the eukaryotic ribosome. It is transcribed by RNA polymerase I as part of the 45S precursor that also contains 18S and 28S rRNA. Lineage: Eukaryota; Fungi; Ascomycota; Eurotiomycetes; Onygenales; Arthrodermataceae. RNAcentral also lists the same sequence under 1 other name. The record is from RNAcentral.